AGUGAACGCUGGCGGUAGGCCUAACACAUGCAAGUCGAACGGCAGCACAGUAAGAGCUUGCUCUUACGGGUGGCGAGUAGCGGACGUGUGAGGAAUACAUCGGAAUCUACUUUUUCGUGGGGGAUAACGUAGGAAAACUUACGCUAAUACCGCAUACGCCCUACGGGUGAAAGCAGGGGAUCUUCGGACCUUGCGCGAUUGAAUGAGCCGAUGUCGGAUUGGCUAGUUGGCGGGGUAAAGGCCCACCAAGGCGACGAUCCGCAGCUGGUCUGAGAGGAUGAUCAUGCUCAAUAGAAUUAUGACACGGUCCUGAGUCCUACGGGAGGCAGCAUUGGGGAAAAUUGGCCAAUGGGCGCAAACCUGAUCCAGCCAUCCCGCGUGGGUGAAGAAGGCCUUCGGGUUGUAAAGCAAUUUUGUUGGGAAAGAAAAGCAGCAGGUUAAUACCCAGCUGUUCUGACGGUACCCAAAGAAUAAGCACCGGCUAACUACGUG
Molecule: ribosomal RNA, 492 nt
Filed under: uncultured bacterium
Lineage: Bacteria
Description: partial 16S ribosomal RNA
Rfam family: Bacterial small subunit ribosomal RNA
Source: RNAcentral